CAACCCUCGACCUCCCCUUGGGGAGGCCGGCCGUUGGAGAUCGGCAGCGACUGCCGGCUCCCAAAUCCAGUGGCGACCCGCCGCGGGGACCCCUGCGUAGUAACUAACACUCGCACCGGAAACCAGACGUGUCACGCCGUAAAACCCCCAACUUUCUGAACG
RNAcentral lists this unclassified non-coding RNA (162 nucleotides) under uncultured Lecanicillium. RNAcentral's name for it is "sequence contains ITS2". Lineage: Eukaryota; Fungi; Ascomycota; Sordariomycetes; Hypocreales; Cordycipitaceae. The record is from RNAcentral.